Molecule: ribosomal RNA, 1062 nt
Filed under: Salmonella enterica subsp. enterica serovar Paratyphi B
Lineage: Bacteria; Pseudomonadati; Pseudomonadota; Gammaproteobacteria; Enterobacterales; Enterobacteriaceae
Description: bacterial SSU rRNA
Rfam family: Bacterial small subunit ribosomal RNA
Source: RNAcentral
AAGAGUUUGAUCAUGGCUCAGAUUGAACGCUGGCGGCAGGCCUAACACAUGCAAGUCGAACGGUAACAGGAAGCAGCUUGCUGCUUCGCUGACGAGUGGCGGACGGGUGAGUAAUGUCUGGGAAACUGCCUGAUGGAGGGGGAUAACUACUGGAAACGGUGGCUAAUACCGCAUAACGUCGCAAGACCAAAGAGGGGGACCUUCGGGCCUCUUGCCAUCAGAUGUGCCCAGAUGGGAUUAGCUAGUUGGUGAGGUAACGGCUCACCAAGGCGACGAUCCCUAGCUGGUCUGAGAGGAUGACCAGCCACACUGGAACUGAGACACGGUCCAGACUCCUACGGGAGGCAGCAGUGGGGAAUAUUGCACAAUGGGCGCAAGCCUGAUGCAGCCAUGCCGCGUGUAUGAAGAAGGCCUUCGGGUUGUAAAGUACUUUCAGCGGGGAGGAAGGUGUUGUGGUUAAUAACCACAGCAAUUGACGUUACCCGCAGAAGAAGCACCGGCUAACUCCGUGCCAGCAGCCGCGGUAAUACGGAGGGUGCAAGCGUUAAUCGGAAUUACUGGGCGUAAAGCGCACGCAGGCGGUCUGUCAAGUCGGAUGUGAAAUCCCCGGGCUCAACCUGGGAACUGCAUUCGAAACUGGCAGGCUUGAGUCUUGUAGAGGGGGGUAGAAUUCCAGGUGUAGCGGUGAAAUGCGUAGAGAUCUGGAGGAAUACCGGUGGCGAAGGCGGCCCCCUGGACAAAGACUGACGCUCAGGUGCGAAAGCGUGGGGAGCAAACAGGAUUAGAUACCCUGGUAGUCCACGCCGUAAACGAUGUCUACUUGGAGGUUGUGCCCUUGAGGCGUGGCUUCCGGAGCUAACGCGUUAAGUAGACCGCCUGGGGAGUACGGCCGCAAGGUUAAAACUCAAAUGAAUUGACGGGGGCCCGCACAAGCGGUGGAGCAUGUGGUUUAAUUCGAUGCAACGCGAAGAACCUUACCUGGUCUUGACAUCCACGGAAGUUUUCAGAGAUGAGAAUGUGCCUUCGGGAACCGUGAGACAGGUGCUGCAUGGCUGUCGUCAG